CAUGUUUAUCGCAUUGCAUCAUGGCAUCAUAUCACAUGACGUCAGUCAUAUAACUUGAAGUGAUUUUGGCGCUCAAAGCAAGAAGCAUUUUCGAUGACGACAACGCAACAGACUACAUCAUUUCGAGGUAACGUUUGCAAACAGCAAUCCGGAGAUAGUCAGCAUGGAUGAUUUGGAGGACACCACAUUGUCGGUGUUAAAGGCCGCCAACAUUGAUGAGGGGGUUUUGAAAACUCUCAGCUGGAAUGACUUAAAAGAUCUCUUUCCUGGCCCUGAGCGUUUUCUCAAGAGGAAGAGGCUAUGGGAUUUAAUCAGUCCAGAGGAUUGGGACAGUGGGUUGCUAAUUGUAAAUUUGUAAACACACAAUGUUUCAUGUCAUUUUUUGUGUCAGUUGUCAAUAAAUGUUCA
Anguilla rostrata (American eel) is the source of this 408-nucleotide long non-coding RNA. RefSeq lists it as uncharacterized. Lineage: Eukaryota; Metazoa; Chordata; Actinopteri; Anguilliformes; Anguillidae. The record is from RefSeq and is a predicted model, not a curated record. The transcript is spliced from 3 exons.